AUACGUAGGGUGCAAGCGUUAAUCGGAAUUACUGGGCGUAAAGCGUGCGCAGGCGAUUUUGUAAGACAGUGGUGAAAUCCCCGGGCUCAACCUGGGAACUGCCAUUGUGACUGCAAGGCUGGAGUGCGGCAGAGGGGGAUGGAAUUCCGCGUGUAGCAGUGAAAUGCGUAGAUAUGCGGAGGAACACCGAUGGCGAAGGCAAUCCCCUGGGCCUGCACUGACGCUCAUGCACGAAAGCGUGGGGAGCAAACAGGAUUAGAUACCCUGGUAGUCCACGCCCUAAACGAUGUCAACUGGUUGUUGGGGAUUUAUUUUCUCAGUAACGAAGCUAACGCGUGAAGUUGACCGCCUGGGGAGUACGGCCGCAAGGUUAAAACUCAAAUGAAUCGACGGGG
RNAcentral lists this ribosomal RNA (395 nucleotides) under uncultured bacterium. Its description in RNAcentral is "partial 16S ribosomal RNA". It matches the Rfam family "Bacterial small subunit ribosomal RNA", at positions 523 to 918 of the family's 1533-position model. The record is from RNAcentral.